UAAGGAGGAUGCGAGCGUUAUCCGGAUUUAUUGGGUUUAAAGGGUGCGUAGGCGGAUUUGUAAGUCAGCGGUAAAAAUGCGGUGCUCAACGCCGUAUCGCCGUUGAAACUGCGGGUCUUGAGUGAGCGAGAAGUAUGCGGAAUGCGUGGUGUAGCGGUGAAAUGCAUAGAUAUCACGCAGAACUCCGAUUGCGAAGGCAGCAUACCGGCGCGCAACUGACGCUGAUGCGCGAAAGCGUGGGGAGCAAACAGG
This 252-nucleotide ribosomal RNA is filed under the name uncultured Bacteroidales bacterium. RNAcentral's name for it is "partial 16S ribosomal RNA". It matches the Rfam family "Bacterial small subunit ribosomal RNA", at positions 524 to 776 of the family's 1533-position model. Lineage: Bacteria; Pseudomonadati; Bacteroidota; Bacteroidia; Bacteroidales. The record is from RNAcentral.